AACAAAGCAUUGCGAUGGUCCC
RNAcentral lists this small nuclear RNA (22 nucleotides) under Arabidopsis thaliana (thale cress). RNAcentral's name for it is "snRNA_08107". Lineage: Eukaryota; Viridiplantae; Streptophyta; Magnoliopsida; Brassicales; Brassicaceae. The record is from RNAcentral.